Suricata suricatta (meerkat) is the source of this 234-nucleotide long non-coding RNA. RefSeq lists it as uncharacterized. The record is from RefSeq and is a predicted model, not a curated record. NCBI's taxonomy places the organism in Eukaryota, Metazoa, Chordata, Mammalia, Carnivora, Herpestidae. The transcript has 2 exons.
GGAGUGGUUCCCUCAAGAUACGGGAGCAUGAUGCCAUUUUGCUUAGAAGCUCCAGGAGGUGAUCCGCUAACCCGCGGCUCUAAUGUGAUCAGCCGCACCGCUACCGCGAGCAUUUGCAUAAGUGCUCCUCCGAGAUGGACUGCAUUUCUAAUCCAAAGUCACGUCAAGGAAAAAUAGCUGUUGCGGAAUGAUUUAUCCUGUUAUUGGCUAAAUGAAAUUAUUCAAAUCCUGAAA